GCUUACAGCCAUACCACCAUGAAUGUGCCCCAUCUCGUCUGAUCUCGGAAGCUAAGCAGGGUCAGGCCUGGUUAGUACUUGGUUGGGAGACCGCCUAGGAAUACCAGGUGCUGUAAGCU
This 119-nucleotide ribosomal RNA is filed under the name Larimichthys crocea (large yellow croaker). The record is from RNAcentral. Lineage: Eukaryota; Metazoa; Chordata; Actinopteri; Sciaenidae.